Molecule: ribosomal RNA, 482 nt
Filed under: uncultured bacterium
Lineage: Bacteria
Description: partial 16S ribosomal RNA
Rfam family: Bacterial small subunit ribosomal RNA
Source: RNAcentral
GACGAACGCUGGCGGCGUGCUUAACACAUGCAAGUCGAACGAUGAAGAAGAGAAACGCGAACUUCGGUUCAAAUUUCACUUCGGAUUAGUGGCAGACGGGUGAGUAACGCGUGAGCAACCUACCUCUUACAAAGGGAUAGCCUCGGGAAACCGUGAUUAAUACCAUAUGACACAUUCAUAAGGCAUCUUAAGAAUGUUAAAGCUACGGCGGUAAGAGAUGGGCUCGCGUCCCAUUAGCUAGUUGGUGAGGUAACGGCCCACCAAGGCGACGAUGGGUAACCGGCCUGAGAGGGUGAACGGUCACAAUGGAACUGAGACACGGUCCAAACUCCUACGGGAGGCAGCAGUGGGGAAUAUUGCACAAUGGAGGGAACUCUGAUGCAGCGACGCCGCGUGAGCGAUGAAGGAAUUCGUUUCGUAAAGCUCUGUUCUAUGGGAAGAAAAGGACUGUACCAUAGGAGAAAGCCCCGGCUAAAUACGUG